UCUGGAAUCAUUUUGUCUGUGCUAUAUCUACCCAAAUCCUAUUUUUCUCCAGAAGUAACAUUCCUCCAUGGCCAAGAGGUGCAGCACACGUUGUCACCACCUGCUUCAGCAGCAAUGCCGUGUGCGGGUUUCCCGGCGGUGGAUCUCCUCCCACCACCACGCACACACAGUUCACAGCUUCUUGGGAACAUGAGCAACCUUUAACAUGGAAGAUAUCUGAAUGUGGAAUCCUACAAACAGAUGGAUGGAACAUAACGAGCUAUAUUCUUCAGUACUACCACAAAAAAAUUUGUUACAUUAUCAUUUAAGCAUGUUGAAAAAGGAGUCUUGUACUUUGGGUGUGCUUACCUUAAAGAAAGAUUAUAUGAGAAAAUCAUAC
Columba livia (rock pigeon) is the source of this 379-nucleotide long non-coding RNA. RefSeq lists it as uncharacterized. NCBI's taxonomy places the organism in Eukaryota, Metazoa, Chordata, Aves, Columbiformes, Columbidae. The transcript is spliced from 3 exons. The record is from RefSeq and is a predicted model, not a curated record.